UGCUCCUCUGACGUUAGCGGCGGACGGGUGAGUAACACGUGGAUAACCUACCUAUAAGACUGGGAUAACUUCGGGAAACCGGAGCUAAUACCGGAUAAUAUAUUGAACCGCAUGGUUCAAUAGUGAAAGACGGUUUUGCUGUCACUUAUAGAUGGAUCCGCGCCGCAUUAGCUAGUUGGUAAGGUAACGGCUUACCAAGGCAACGAUGCGUAGCCGACCUGAGAGGGUGAUCGGCCACACUGGAACUGAGACACGGUCCAGACUCCUACGGGAGGCAGCAGUAGGGAAUCUUCCGCAAUGGGCGAAAGCCUGACGGAGCAACGCCGCGUGAGUGAUUAAGGUCUUCGGAUCGUAAAACUCUGUUAUUAGGGAAGAACAAAUGUGUAAGUAACUAUGCACGUCUUGACGGUACCUAAUCAGAAAGCCACGGCUAACUACGUGCCAGCAGCCGCGGUAAUACGUAGGUGGCAAGCGUUAUCCGGAAUUAUUGGGCGUAAAGCGCGCGUAGGCGGUUUUUUAAGUCUGAUGUGAAAGCCCACGGCUCAACCGUGGAGGGUCAUUGGAAACUGGAAAACUUGAGUGCAGAAGAGGAAAGUGGAAUUCCAUGUGUAGCGGUGAAAUGCGCAGAGAUAUGGAGGAACACCAGUGGCGAAGGCGACUUUCUGGUCUGUAACUGACGCUGAUGUGCGAAAGCGU
Molecule: ribosomal RNA, 696 nt
Filed under: uncultured Staphylococcus sp.
Lineage: Bacteria; Bacillati; Bacillota; Bacilli; Caryophanales; Staphylococcaceae
Description: bacterial SSU rRNA
Rfam family: Bacterial small subunit ribosomal RNA
Source: RNAcentral